RNAcentral lists this long non-coding RNA (1394 nucleotides) under Rattus norvegicus (Norway rat). Its description in RNAcentral is "long non-coding RNA NONRATT016038". Lineage: Eukaryota; Metazoa; Chordata; Mammalia; Rodentia; Muridae. The record is from RNAcentral.
AAGAUAAAUUCAUGUAAGAUGUUAUUUCAUUUUAAAAAUCUAGGGUCUGUGGGAGGGGACAGAUUCUUUUUAGGUAGAGGACAAGAGGAGUGGACUCCAUCUACAUAGCUAUGGCAGAGUCACACCCAUGUUGGGUUCAUAUGGUUAAAUUUCACAGCAGUUGACUUUCCUGGAUGUACUGAUUGAAUCAAAGAAACCCUAUCUCAAAAACAAACAAAGAAAACAUCUAUUCCUUUUAGAGACAUUCAGAUACGAAGUUGCCCAACUCAUGAUGUAUAUUUUAUCAAAGACUGAAAAUAGCAGAAGCUGGAGUUGGACAAGCUGACUCUAAACGGGCUGAGCUGAUUGAAAGCCGCAAGAAAGACGUAAACAUCCCCUUAGUGGAGAAUGGGCGGUUGACAGAGGUUCCCCACUGUUUCUGCACUGCUAAAAGCCGAGGUGACAGUGCCCAAAGAACCCGUGACACUUAAAUGUGGCUAACAGAUUUUCUGUUGUUUGUGUGUUUUUAGGUAUGGUUGUCCUGUGAUGCCUUGGCUGCUCUAGAACUUAGGAUCCCUUUCCUCCUCUUUCCUAUGAGCUAGGAUUACUGGUGCACGCCCCCAUGCCUGGCUACUUCCUUACUGUGUUUAGGGAUUACACUGUACAGUACAUAGCCCAUUAUAUCGUUAUGUUAAACCGCUGGUUUUUUGUUUUUUUUUUUUUGUUACUGGUUUAUAUGUGCACAAGUGUAUGCAUAUGUGUGCACACGGACUAUAGAACGUGUGGGUCGGGACAGCUUGUAGACGUUGGUUCUUUCAUUGUGUAGCAUAGAAGGACCAACCUCAGGUAGCCAUGCUUGGCAGCAAGCACCUCUACCAGCUGAGCCGUCUCACUGCAGACUCAGUUUUUACUGCGUUCUGGUUUGAAACAGGGUCUCUGCAAUAUAUAGCCCAAGGUGGCCUCAAACUCUGCCUCCCAAGUGGGAUUCCAGGCAUGCGCUACCACGCCGGGCUGCCAACAGGGUUUUAUAUUGCUUAGAGCCCCGUGAACACUCAGGGCACUGCGUUAGCCUUAACACAUCUGCAUGCGGUUCCUGCCUGUGCGCAGGGUAAGAUCCCAGCUGGAUCAGGUUUGAGCUCUGCAGAUGUUUUAACAUUUAAAAGUAUCUGUAUAAAACACACAUGCUUUUUGUGCUCAUUAAUUGUUUUCCUUUGAUCGGUAGCAUUUUUCAGUGGAGAAAUGUUGAUGUUCGACAGUGACCCUCUGUUCCCUUCACCUGUGUUACACUCUCUACCCCAGACUUGGUUGUGUAGUCUUAGUGACUUUCCUGUUGUACACAUGUGUGCUUUAUGUGUUAAUACGUUAAUGUCUUCCCUGAAUAAAAAUGACGUUUCUCUCGUGUGGAGCUUGUCCUU